UACGAAGGGGGCUAGCGUUGCUCGGAAUGACUGGGCGUAAAGGGUGCGUAGGUGGUUGUCACAGUCAGGUGUGAAAGCCUUGAGCUCAACUCAAGAAAUGCACUUGAUACUAGGCGACUAGAGGACCGGAGAGGAUAGUGGAAUUCCCAGUGUAGUGGUGAAAUACGUAGAGAUUGGGAAGAACACCAGUGGCGAAAGCGGCUUCCUGGUCCAGCACCGACGUUCAGGCACGAAAGCGUGGGGAGCAAACAGG
RNAcentral lists this ribosomal RNA (253 nucleotides) under uncultured bacterium. RNAcentral's name for it is "partial 16S ribosomal RNA". It matches the Rfam family "Bacterial small subunit ribosomal RNA", at positions 524 to 776 of the family's 1533-position model. The record is from RNAcentral.